RNAcentral lists this non-coding RNA (31 nucleotides) under Rattus norvegicus (Norway rat). Lineage: Eukaryota; Metazoa; Chordata; Mammalia; Rodentia; Muridae. The record is from RNAcentral.
UGCUCCUGGAAUUGAAAUACAUACCUGGAUU